This is a non-coding RNA of Phalacrocorax carbo (great cormorant), 815 nucleotides long. Lineage: Eukaryota; Metazoa; Chordata; Aves; Suliformes; Phalacrocoracidae. The record is from RefSeq and is a predicted model, not a curated record.
AGUUAUAUCACUUAUGCAGAAGACCCUUCAAGAAAAGUCUUCCCUGACACUGCUAUAAAUGCCCACAGCUUCAUUCUGAUCACAUUCAGGUCUCUGCAGCACCUUCCUCCUACAUAAAUGGGAAGAUGGAUUCUUGCUUGUUUUCCUGUGGUCACCCAAGCAAUCAAGGGACCCAUCUAAGUGACAGCUAAGGUUAACUGUCUGGACAGCUGUGAGUCAAGCCUUCAAGACAUGCUGCUUUAUCUGAUUGGUCUCAGUCUUGAUCUGGCACAUGAAAGGAAAUGUGAGGAAGUUUCAUGCAGAGACCGUUUUGCAAGUCCAAAGAUGAGGGUCUUUGUUUCACCUCUGGAGGAAGAUGGAAAUCCAUGCAGGAAAAAAUCCACCAAGGGUUACUUAACAAAAAGACAUCUGACUUGAUGUCCCUGAGCCAGAAACUGCUGGAAGAGAAGACACCUGGGAAAGUAUCACUUAUCCUCCUAUUACGGUCUUCUGCAUUUAUCUUCUAUCACACAGGAUAACUUGGCUUAACCUAGUACAGCUGUUUUUAUGUCUUGCACUCAAAUAUAUAUAGAUGUAUUGACACAUAGUAGAUACUUACAUGUCCGUUUUAGGGCAUGUGGUAUAGUUUUUCCUAAAUCCCCUGUAGAGCCAAUGGGGAGAAAAAUAUUCCUGCAGAAGGUGUUUCAGAGAAAAAGCCUAGCUUGGGUUCUCUUUCUCCAGGUAAUCCUCUAUCCACUGAUGGCAAAGGGAGAUAAAACAGCUGAGCUAGCUAAUACAGGCCACAUAAGUGCUGAGUGGUUUCUCCUGACCCUGGU